UAGCUGUCUAUAACGGUCCUUUGACAUGGU
RNAcentral lists this non-coding RNA (30 nucleotides) under Homo sapiens (human). Lineage: Eukaryota; Metazoa; Chordata; Mammalia; Primates; Hominidae. The record is from RNAcentral.